Long non-coding RNA from Oreochromis niloticus (Nile tilapia), 473 nucleotides. RefSeq lists it as uncharacterized. The transcript is spliced from 3 exons. NCBI's taxonomy places the organism in Eukaryota, Metazoa, Chordata, Actinopteri, Cichliformes, Cichlidae. The record is from RefSeq and is a predicted model, not a curated record.
UUCAUGAAGCGCUGGCCUGCUCUUUUUAGCGAGGUACAGAUAUGUGAAGAAUUUAAGAGGAUAACAACAGUCAGCCUUGAAUCAACCUUUCUGGCCAGGCUUGACCAAUGCACCCCAAAACUGAUGGCCUUGACCCUGUCAAAAGGAGGAGCUGCAGGUCUGAGGAUGAGGCAGAUUAAGGACAUGCUUCUGCAGUGUUUUUACUUAUGAAGAAGGAAUGUCCAGGUGACAAGCGCAGCGUUUGUCAGAUCUCCGCAGAGUGAGACAGCCAUGCCCCCCACUGUGUGCGGAGUAAGCAGGUCCCAAACAAUAAGAAACUCAGGAGAAUAGCCAGAUCACCUUUUCCACCUUAUUCCAAAUGAACUUUUUUAUUAUUUAAUUUAAAAAAUGCUAUAUCAUUAUGGAUAUCAUUUUCAGUAUAUGAAGUAAGCUACUUACAUCUGAUUUUUUUUUAACACAUCUAUUUUUUUCUA